CUUCAUUUAUGAAAUUCAUAGUAAUAGAGAUACAUGUCCUACCGAGACAGAAUUUUGAACUUGCUAUCCUCUUACCUAACAGGCAAAGAUUUGCCUCCGUGGAAAGGAUAGCUUACCAAGGCGAUGAUCAGUAGCUGGUCCGAGAGGAUGAUCAGCCACACUGGGACUGAGACACGGCCCAGACUCCUACGGGAGGCAGCAGUGGGGAAUUUUCCGCAAUGGGUAGCCGCUCAUGGU
Molecule: long non-coding RNA, 237 nt
Filed under: Helianthus annuus (common sunflower)
Lineage: Eukaryota; Viridiplantae; Streptophyta; Magnoliopsida; Asterales; Asteraceae
Description: Bacterial small subunit ribosomal RNA
Rfam family: Bacterial small subunit ribosomal RNA
Source: RNAcentral